UGCUCAGGGGAGUAACAGUGUCACUGGUUGGUGACUUAUUCCGGACCCAACUCGGUCGAACUGAGUUUACAGGUCUAGCAACGCUUGCCACCGCAAUGGAAAUGUAGGUACAGAUUGCAACAACUGCCCCGUCUAGGUCUAGAUUUUUCCUCUGAAAUAAACCUGAUUUCAUCCUGGAGGAUUAUCACAUUUCAGAACACAUCUCAGCCGGGGAGUGGUGGUGCAGUUUCAACACCAGAACCUGAGAGGCAGAGGAAGUCUGGGAUGUUACCAGCAUCUUCAGGAAUCAUCACAACCCUUCAUUCAGUCAGACCAGACCCUGAGGUACGGCCCCUCUCCUCAUCUCUGGAAUUUGGGAACUGGGCAAGGCCAAGAUAGAGAGGAGGCGUGGCCCUGGCACUGGAAACCUGACUCCUGUCUCCACUUCUGUAUUUUCCCCAGGCACGGAUGAAGCCAGAGGGUUUGUGGUGUCAGGAUGUUGUCUGGGGCUGCUGGUGAAGACAGGCGGUGACUGGGAUGAUCAGGGUUCGGAAUCUCCUUCCUGCCUUCCACUCAGGUGGUGCAUAAAGGUUUAGAGAAUCAGCAUUGAAAGCGUAGACAGAUCACAGUUCUGUGCCCUUCUGCUAAACUGAGCUAAAGUCUGCGUUAGGUUCAGACUAUGUAAAUGUCAAAAUGGAGUCCCAGGUAAGCCUGCGGCAGGGAUCAGUCAGGUUGGAUCCAACGGUGCGUGGUGGGUCCUGACAGAAUGUCCACCCUACCUUUCCUCAGGAACUGCCUAGGACAGACUUUCGCCAGAGCACAAUGAAGAUGACACUGGCACUGACUCUGCUGCGAUUCUGUGUCCUGCCGGGUUAGAUACGGAACCGCGCGGGAGACCGCGGAAGCUGAUCCUGCGAGCGAAGGGCGGGCUGUGGCUGCGGGUGGAGCCGCUGACCCCACACCUGGUUUGAUAUCACCCCACCCACCCACCUCAUCGGGAUCCCAGAAUUAACAGAGGUGUUGCCCACACUCGAACCUCACCAUAUACCAACAGGGGGCGCUAUGAAACCGGACUGGUGCCUUUGAGUCCAAGAGCUUUCCUGUCCUCUAGGUGACCACAGGGCUUCCUCCCUGAGCUAGACUAUCCUGUAAGAGCCACUGUAGAUGUCUAAACAAAGGAGGGAACGGGUUUGAGCUUCUGUCACUGAAGCAAACACUGCAUUUUCUUUUGUUUUUGAAACAAGGUCUUACUCAUACAGUCGUAGUAGCCUAGACCUGACUGUGGACCAGUUUACAGCAAACUUCUGCUGAGACCUCAACCACCCAAAUGGUGCAAUUAGAAGGUGGGAUAAUUAUUAGAAACAAAGGGCAGUUUCCCAGGGGAAGUCUGGGAGCCCUUCAAAAUGAUGUUAAAUGAUGUCCAAGGCUUGCAGUGUUUAAGACCAUUGAGGCAGCUUGAAUUUAAAAUGGCAUCACAUUGCAAGCACCCUGUGUGGUGAUGUCCUUUCAGGUCUCCCCUUAUUCCUCCUGGGGCUGGGGAGGUGGCUCAGUGGAGAGACAGGAGGAUCCCGGGGCCUCACUAGCCAGCUAAUCUUGUGAAAUCAGAAAGCUCUAGUGCCUUUAAUCCUGGCACUUGUUGAGGUCAGCCUGAUUUACCAAGCAUGUUCUAGGACAGCCAGGGCCACA
RNAcentral lists this small RNA (1665 nucleotides) under Rattus norvegicus (Norway rat). RNAcentral describes it as "uncharacterized LOC102548621". The record is from RNAcentral. Lineage: Eukaryota; Metazoa; Chordata; Mammalia; Rodentia; Muridae.